RNAcentral lists this ribosomal RNA (463 nucleotides) under uncultured Enterobacteriaceae bacterium. Its description in RNAcentral is "bacterial SSU rRNA". It matches the Rfam family "Bacterial small subunit ribosomal RNA", at positions 920 to 1382 of the family's 1533-position model. Lineage: Bacteria; Pseudomonadati; Pseudomonadota; Gammaproteobacteria; Enterobacterales; Enterobacteriaceae. The record is from RNAcentral.
CCCGGCACAAGCGGUGGAGCAUGUGGUUUAAUUCGAUGCAACGCGAAGAACCUUACCUGGUCUUGACAUCCACGGAAGUUUUCAGAGAUGAGAAUGUGCCUUCGGGAACCGUGAGACAGGUGCUGCAUGGCUGUCGUCAGCUCGUGUUGUGAAAUGUUGGGUUAAGUCCCGCAACGAGCGCAACCCUUAUCCUUUGUUGCCAGCGGUCCGGCCGGGAACUCAAAGGAGACUGCCAGUGAUAAACUGGAGGAAGGUGGGGAUGACGUCAAGUCAUCAUGGCCCUUACGACCAGGGCUACACACGUGCUACAAUGGUUGGUACAACGAGUUGCGAGUCGGUGACGGCGAGCUAAUCUCUUAAAGCCAAUCUCAGUUCGGAUUGUAGGCUGCAACUCGCCUACAUGAAGUCGGAAUCGCUAGUAAUCGCGGAUCAGCACGCCGCGGUGAAUACGUUCCCGGGCCUU